CCUACGGGUGGCAGCAGUGGGGAAUAUUGCACAAUGGGGGAAACCCUGAUGCAGCGACGCCGCGUGAGUGAAGAAGUAUUUCGGUAUGUAAAGCUCUAUCAGCAGGGAAGAAAAAAGACGGUACCUGACUAAGAAUCCCCGGCUAACUACGUGCCAGCAGCCGCGGUAAUACGUCGGGGGCAAGCGUUAUCCGGAUUUACUGGGUGUAAAGGGAGCGUAGACGGUAUGGCAAGUCUGAAGUGAAAGCCCAGGGCUUAACCCUGGGACUGCUUUGGAAACUGUGCGGCUGGAGUGCAGGAGGGGUAAGCGGAAUUCCUGGUGUAGCGGUGAAAUGCGUAGAUAUUAGGAGGAACACCGGUGGCGAAGGCGGCUUACUGGACUGUAACUGACGUUGAGGCUCGAAAGCGUGGGGAGCAAACAGGAUUAGAUACCCCUGUAGUC
This 441-nucleotide ribosomal RNA is filed under the name uncultured bacterium. RNAcentral describes it as "partial 16S ribosomal RNA". It matches the Rfam family "Bacterial small subunit ribosomal RNA", at positions 338 to 795 of the family's 1533-position model. The record is from RNAcentral.